GAUGAGCGCUGGCGGCGUGCCUAAUACAUGCAAGUCGAGCGAACGGACGAGAAGCUUGCUUCUCUGAUGUUAGCGGCGGACGGGUGAGUAACACGUGGAUAACCUACCUAUAAGACUGGGAUAACUUCGGGAAACCGGAGCUAAUACCGGAUGAUAUUUUGAACCGCAUGGUUCAAAAGUGAAAGACGGUCUUGCUGUCACUUAUAGAUGGAUCCGCGCUGCAUUAGCUAGUUGGUAAGGUAACGGCUUACCAAGGCAACGAUGCAUAGCCGACCUGAGAGGGCGAUCGGCCACACUGGAACUGAGACACGGUCCAGACUCCUACGGGAGGCAGCAGUAGGGAAUCUUCCGCAAUGGGCGAAAGCCUGACGGAGCAACGCCGCGUGAGUGAUGAAGGUCUUCGGAUCGUAAAACUCUGUUAUUAGGGAAGAACAUAUGUGUAAGUAACUGUGCACAUCUUGACGGUACCUAAUCAGAAGGCCACGGCUAACUACGUG
This 497-nucleotide ribosomal RNA is filed under the name uncultured bacterium. RNAcentral describes it as "partial 16S ribosomal RNA". It matches the Rfam family "Bacterial small subunit ribosomal RNA", at positions 28 to 507 of the family's 1533-position model. The record is from RNAcentral.